This 1181-nucleotide long non-coding RNA is filed under the name Ananas comosus (pineapple). RNAcentral's name for it is "long non-coding RNA (ACOM_LNC027548)". Lineage: Eukaryota; Viridiplantae; Streptophyta; Magnoliopsida; Poales; Bromeliaceae. The record is from RNAcentral.
UCUCAAAUCAAUAUCAAUUUGUGAAUCAUAUUUACUACAAAUUUAAAAUUUUAAAUUGUAAAUUUAUAUGUUAUAUUUUAUUGAAAAAAUAUCUCAUAUUUUAAAUAUUAGUAGGUAAAAUUGAGAUAAUUUAUAUAUAUUCACUUUUUAAAAAAAUAUGAUUAAAUAUUAUAUAUGCGGUAGGUAUUAUGUGAUUGGAUAUUAUAUAGGUGGCGAAUAUUACGUGUGAGAAUGAAAAUAUUUAAGAAAUACGAAUAUUAUUUGUGAUAAAAUAUGAUAUUAUAUUGGCGGCAGUUAUUAGAAGAUAUGACACACAUAUAAAAAGUAAAAUUUGAUACGUACUAUCUAAGGACAAUUUAGGUAAAAAAAGUGACAGAUACUUAAUUCGUCAGUCAUUGGAUUAGAUCGAAUGACUAAGAAUUAAUAUAUUUUAUAAUAAUUUAACAAUAAAAUAAAAAUUGUACGGCUGUGAUUUAUUUUAUUAAAGUUGAAUGAAUGAUACUAUUAGUAUGUAAUUGGAAUUAUAUUAAUAGGAAUCGGCAUUUUGGGAAAGAGAAAAAAAUUUAAAACUCGCGCUUUUAUAAGUAGUAUAGAUAAAGAGAGAGAGAGAGAGAGAGAGAGAGAGCUAGACUGGUAUACUAUCGGUAGCACGGAGUCUCCAUUGUAUCAAAUUGUUUUCAAUAAUGCAGUUCCAAAUUGACGAUCGGCUCCGUUAGAUUUGAUCUACACUAUUAAAAGUAUUUGAAAACUAGAUUUCAUAUUUUUUCGACAUCAUUUGGCUAGUGAUCAAAAGGUUUCAAAAUUGAUAAUUUUAAUGAUCAAUGCGAUGUAAAACAAUCCAAAUCUGAUACAAAUUUUAUAGAAAUUUUUUUUCACUAUUUAGAGUAAGAUCAAUAUCUCUGAUCUUAAAUUCAAAUCGUUUAUCAUCAUUUUUUAUGAGAUUUUUAUUUUCAGCCAUUCAUUUUUAGAUUACCCGUUUGAUAGGUAAAUAAUGUCGAAAAAUUAUGAAAUUUAGUUUCUCAAUACUCUCAAAAGUGUAGAUCAAGUCUAACAGAGCCAAUCGUCGAUUUAAAAGCUACAUCAUUAAAAACAACUUGAUAGCAUAGAGGUCUCCAUACUACUGAUAGUAUACCAGCAUAUAUAUGUAUGUCUUAUUCUCAUCUAAAUCUUUUAUGUCGAAA